UUUAUCCCAAACCCAUCAAUCUAUAUUGGAUACAAAAAUCCAUAGGCAGCAGGGUGUUGAGAUAGAGACUACACCAUUAAAACUUGUGUUUUCCACAGUGUCCAGGUGCCCCAUUACAUAGACUGGCCAAGGCUGCAUCUAUAAUGCCAAAACACAAAAGGCUGCUGCAGGAGGAUCACUAGUUUGAAGCCAACAUGUGCUACGUAACCAGACUUUUUCAGAUUGACAAAUCAGAAGUUGAGCUCCAUUUGUUGGGACUCCACGGACUCAGGCUGAUUGAAUGCGUGUGCUGAGGUGAGACCUGUGCUGAGGCGAGACCUGUGCUGAGGUGAGACCUGUGCUGAGGCGAGGCCUGUGCUGAGGCGAGACCUGUGCUGAGGUGAGACCUGUACUGAGGUGAGACCUGUGCUGAGGUGAGACCUGUGCUGAGGCGAGGCCUGUGCUGAGGCAAGGCACAUGGAGGACACAUAAUGCUUGGAGCAUAUAAAUAGGACUCCACAGAGUGAUGGAGACAGAGUCUGGCUUGCUGGUACAGCUAGCUGUGCAUUCUUGUGAGUCUUGAGUCUUCCCUGAUCCUCACUUUCCUGAGAGAGGCAUAGCCAAGAACUUCUCCUGGUGUUCCCGCUGGUCCCUCCUGCUGACUUGAACAGAGUCUAAGGCCUGACUGUCUCUGUUAAGUUGUGUCACCACUGUUGCUAACCCGGCUCUACCAAACUGGACUCCUGGUGUAUCCAUGAAGUGUUUUCACGUGGAUCAAGCUGCUGCUGCCUGCUGACCUGUGAACUGAACUGCCGAUUUCCAGACAACACAGAUGGGAGGUGCUCCAAAGAACCUUUCUAAAAAGGUCCAUCUCCCCCUGUAUCCUUUCUUUUCAACUACCUCUGGUGGGUGGUGGGCUACAAGGGAGGGUAAAGCUUCUAAGAACAAUCAUUAAAAGUAAGGUUUGAAAAAAAUUAAAGUGCACAUAUAAAUGAAA
Rattus norvegicus (Norway rat) is the source of this 976-nucleotide non-coding RNA. The record is from RefSeq and is a predicted model, not a curated record. NCBI's taxonomy places the organism in Eukaryota, Metazoa, Chordata, Mammalia, Rodentia, Muridae.